GUGCCAGCAGCCGCGGUAAUACGGAGGGUGCAAGCGUUGUUCGGAAUUACUGGGCGUAAAGCGCGUGCAGGCGGUUCGGUAAGUCAGAUGUGAAAGCCCUGGGCUCAACCCAGGAAGUGCAUUUGAUACUGCCGUGCUAGAGUAUGGGAGAGGAGAGUGGAAUUCCCAGUGUAGAGGUGAAAUUCGUAGAUAUUGGGAGGAACACCCGUGGCGAAGGCGACUCUCUGGACCAAUACUGACGCUGAGACGCGAAAGCGUGGGGAGCAAACAGGAUUAGAUACCCCCGUAGUCC
RNAcentral lists this ribosomal RNA (292 nucleotides) under uncultured bacterium. Its description in RNAcentral is "partial 16S ribosomal RNA". It matches the Rfam family "Bacterial small subunit ribosomal RNA", at positions 505 to 796 of the family's 1533-position model. The record is from RNAcentral.